This is a long non-coding RNA of Oryzias melastigma (Indian medaka), 2598 nucleotides long. RefSeq lists it as uncharacterized. NCBI's taxonomy places the organism in Eukaryota, Metazoa, Chordata, Actinopteri, Beloniformes, Adrianichthyidae. The transcript is spliced from 2 exons. The record is from RefSeq and is a predicted model, not a curated record.
GUGACAGGAGCUCAUCAGAGACUGGUCUCCGAGUUGUGGGCGAGGCUGUUUGCGCUGAAGUAAUCCUCCACCAAUAUCCCAUGAUCCUUUGGUUGACACUCUCUCAUUUUUUUAUUUUUUAUUUUUUUGAGAGACUGUAGGACACUCUUUCCUGCUGGCCUACAGUCCCUCACAACCCUUAGCCAGUGAUGCAAAAAAAUGGCGAGGAAAAAGAAGAUGGACCUUUUUGUCAACAAGUGAAUGCAUCUGAUUGGAUACUCAGACAUGCAGUUUUAAUCGUAUUAUUAGAUGUAUAUUUGUCCUCCAUGUUGAGAAAAUGUUACAGAACGUGUCAAAAUGCAACGAUUUUCGUUGGAGUUUGUCUUUAAAGGGUUAACCGGAGCAACUUCCUCUUAACCCGGCGGGCUUUAAGACCCAGGUGACGCGGAAGAGAGAAAAAAAACUCCAUCUCUGCUCUCGCGCUCAUCUUCCAUCCUCCUCCUCCAGACAAGCACCAUGAUAUUACAUCUCAUCCCUCACGCUGUCCUGCUCGGCUGCUGUGUGGUGGUGAGCGCUCUGAUCGAGGACUCCACGCUGACCGAGAGACCCUACGAGGUCCUGCGGAAGCAGAACUUAGUCUCCCUUGGGAGCGUCCUCGCCGUCCUCCUCCUGCUGAUGAUCAUCAUGGUUGUGUGCGUCUACAAGCCGCUGCCCCGCCGCUGACAGACUGCCGCCAUCCCCCCCGGCUUCCUACAGACUAUUUAUCAAAGGAUCAGGCUGGAGGAAUGGGUCAGCCUGUAUAAGAGCCUCUCCAAUACAUGCAAAUAUUUACCUGAUCCCACAGCUCACAAUCUGUCAUUUCAGAAUUACUGCAUGCUUAGUUGAUGUAGGUCAUCUGCAGGAAACAUGUAUGAAACAUCCAUUAAAAGUGAGCCAUAUUUUUGGUUCUUCAAUAAUAUUAUAGUGCGUUACAAAAUAUUAUGCAGACUGUAUUUAAGUGUCAAAAGGAUAAAAUGAUUUGUUCUUUCAAUUACAGUAUAAACUCAUUGAUGAUAUUGUGUCUCGGAGCUCUUUGAAUCACUGAAAUAAUCUCAGACACCUGUGAUAAAUAGUUUACAGGUGAGUUCGAAAAACUAAAGGACACUGCACUUAUACUCCAUACCAGUAGGUGGCGGUAAUGCACCUACUCACUGUGUGCCAUCCCCAAUAAAACUAUACAAGAAGAAUGAGGAAGACGUUUUCAAGCAAUAUGGGAAAGAAAAGGGAUCUAUCCGAUGCUGAAAAGAAUGAAAUAAUUGAAUGCAUUGGACAAGGUAUGAAAACCUUGGAUAUUUCGCGAAAACUUGAGCGGGAUCAUCGCACUAUUAGGAGAUUUGUGGCUGAUUCAGAGCACACACGGGUUCGUGCAGACAAAGGCAAAAUAAGGAAGGUUUCUGCCAAACAAAUAAAUCGGAUUAAGAGAGCAGCUGCUAAAAUCCCAUCACAAAGCAGCAAGCACAUAUUUGAAGCUGCUGGUGUCUCUGGAGUCCCACAAACAUCAAGGUGUAGGAUCCUCCAGAGGCUUGCAGCUCUACGUAAACCUUCUCUUCAGGCUCAGACAUACAUGGAGGCCAAAUUUCAAACUGUCUUGUUCACUGAUGAGUGCCGAGAAACCCUGGAUGGUCCAGAUGAAUGGAAGACCACCAUGUCCCAACAAGGCUGUGACGUCAGUGAGGAGGUGGCAGAAUCAUGUUUUGGGCCAGAAUCAUGGAGAGAAAGCUGAUUGGGCCCUGAAGGUGUGAAAAUGACUUUUGAAAACCUUCCCCUGACCUCAAUCUUAUUAAAAACCUUUAGAGCAUCUUCAAGCAUCUAUGAGGGCGGGAGGCAGGUCACAUCCAAAUAGCAGCUCUGGGAAGAUAUUCUGACACCCUGCAACGAAAUUCAAGCAGAAACUCUCCAAGAAAUUCAAUGAAUCGAGAAGCUGCUACAAAGAGGUCCUAUGUUUAAGCAUGACAUGACCUGUUAAGACGUUUAUGAUCGGAAUAACUUUUGAUUUUAGUAAAUACAAUGAAAACAAAUAACCAUUUUCAGUUCUUUAGAAUCUGUAAAAUUGUUGUGGAACUCUGUUGUGCAUAAUAAUGUGGAAUAGUUAAUUUGAAGGUUUUAUUUUUGGAAAAAAAAUAUGUAUCUUUAAGAUGUUUAUUAGAUAACAUUUGUGACUUGAAAAAUGGAUUGAGUAUUUGGAAAAAUAUAAUUUGGAACGUGCUGUAUUUGUCAUGAAAUGACUUCUAACUCGAGAAAAUGAGGAUCUGUUGAUCUGGUUAGUUAGGAUUAUAAAAGAUCAGAUCUUUACGUGAAUCCAGACAGAUUAGUGAAAAAUGAGAGGAAGGUUUGAAUCCUUUGAACACAGAAAACCACAGAUUUUUGUUUGAGAAAGUUCAUCCUGCUGCUGAAUUUUGAAGCCACACAUGCUCUGAGAGAACCAUGUGGUGAAGGGUGAAUGGAGACCCUCCAAGAUGGUCAUCUAAUGCUCCGGAUAUGACGAGAACAUUUUCAGACAACCAUCAGAUCAAUAACAGUUUAUGUCUUAUCAGAUUUUGCAAAAAAUAUGUGAUUAAAACUGCUGUGUAUUUAUUUAUA